Long non-coding RNA from Cotesia glomerata, 128 nucleotides. RefSeq lists it as uncharacterized. NCBI's taxonomy places the organism in Eukaryota, Metazoa, Arthropoda, Insecta, Hymenoptera, Braconidae. The record is from RefSeq and is a predicted model, not a curated record. The transcript has 3 exons.
GCUCAUCCGAUCUCCGCGAUGUCGACGGACUGUACCGGUGAUCCUCGAACUCCUGGAUCAUCUCAGUCAGAAGGUCGACAGACACUUUGUCGUCCCCUACUACACACAUGAUUUGGAGUUUGUUGAUU